This 209-nucleotide unclassified non-coding RNA is filed under the name uncultured fungus. RNAcentral describes it as "sequence contains ITS1". The record is from RNAcentral. Lineage: Eukaryota; Fungi.
UUAAUAAUUUUAAAUCUAUCCUCAGACGACACUAUUAAGAAGAGUUUUGGAAGGCUAUUGGCAGGCACGGGCUAGGGAUCGAUGAUCCCCCACGGCCCACAAGGGGCGGGCCAGCCAAAGCAACAUGGUAUUUUAGCCACAAGGGUUGGAGAUGGGGCCUAGAAGACCCUUCCUCGAUAAUGAUCCUUCCGCAGGUUCACCUACGGAAA